UACGUAGGGGGCAAGCGUUGUCCGGAAUUACUGGGCGUAAAGGGCGCGUAGGCGGAUGUGUCAGUCAGGGGCGAAAUCCCGGAGCUCAACUUCGGAACUGCCUUUGAUACAGCACAUCUGGAGUCCGGAAGAGGUGGGUGGAAUUCCUAGUGUAGAGGUGAAAAUUCGUAGAUAUUAGGAAGAACACCGGUGGCGAAGGCGGCCCACUGGUCCGGUACUGACGCUGAGGUGCGAAAGCGUGGGGGAGCAAACAGG
This 255-nucleotide ribosomal RNA is filed under the name uncultured bacterium. RNAcentral describes it as "partial 16S ribosomal RNA". It matches the Rfam family "Bacterial small subunit ribosomal RNA", at positions 524 to 776 of the family's 1533-position model. The record is from RNAcentral.